This is a long non-coding RNA of Talpa occidentalis (Iberian mole), 2419 nucleotides long. RefSeq lists it as uncharacterized. The record is from RefSeq and is a predicted model, not a curated record. Lineage: Eukaryota; Metazoa; Chordata; Mammalia; Eulipotyphla; Talpidae. The transcript has 6 exons.
GCAGAGCAACCUCCAGGCGGAACUGGGGCGUCGCCGACUCCGGGGACCGACACACCCGGUGUGAAAAGGUGGUGGCACGCGGAGCGGUGCGCAUGCGCGGGCAGUCCUCGGGGUGAAGGGUUGAGAGCCGGACCGGGCGGCCAGCUGGGCUGGAGCGGAGCAGCGUCAGGAUGGACGAGGACGUGCUGCCCGCCCUGAAGGUCCUCAUCGUCGGCGAGAGCCGCGUCGGCAAGUCCAGCCUGCUCUUGCGGUUCACGGAUGAUACUUUUGAUCCAGAACUUGCCGCAACAAUUGCUUAUGAUGUGACAAGAAGGGACACCUUUGUUAAACUGGAUAACUGGCUAAGUGAAUUGGAAACAUAUUGCACGAGAAAUGACAUAGUAAACAUGCUAGUUGGAAAUAAAAUCGAUAAGUAAAAUCGUGAAGUUGACAGAAAUGAAGGCCUGAAAUUUGCAUGAAAGCAUUCCAUGUUAUUUAUAGCAUGAUACAAUCGCAAAUAAUGUGAGCAGAAGAUAUGCCGUGUAAAACAAAGGGACCACUGUCCUAGCAGUCGCCUCAAAUUCCAGUUUCCUAGAAAGUAAUGUGAAGCAGACCACCUGUCGUAAAAAUACACUCAGUGACACCAAGCAAAUUUUCGGGGCUCCAGAAACAGCGCAGACGUGGAGUGAGAGCAUUCUAACUAGAAAAUCUAACUUCAAAAGUCACCCUGAAGAUCAAUGUCUGCCCUGAACACGCCCACCCCUGCGGUGUAGAAUGAGUGUUUCCCACUAGAAUGCCACCCAGUAUCUAGGCUGGCGGCUUCCCUUGGUGUCCCUUGAAGAAAGCUGGCUGAAGCAUCCAAGAGAGUGGAGCAGACCCGGUUUCAAGUCAAGGCCUCCUCCAAAUAGCCAGGCAUGCCCACGUCCUUGGACAGGUCUUAUCCCUCCCACCUUCUCCUCCCUCUAGACCCAGCCCCGGGCACCUGGAUGUCCUUCAAGGCCAGGUGCUUUUCAAUGGCGUGAAUUUGGUCCAGGAACUCGAGCAGCCACUUCUGGUUGCGCUCGCUGUCCUCGGGGUCCGUGGUCUUCCGGUAGUACUGCAGCCGCAUGGCCUUGGCUUGCAGGUGUAACCGGCUUCUCCCCGCCCUGGGACCCAGGACAGUUCCUCCCAAGAAGCCGGCCAAGUAGAGGGGCACAGCAGAGGUGUUGUAAAUAGGGAAGGUGAUGCUUUUCAGGUCCAUGUUGUUAUUCUUGUGCCAGAUGAACAGGAGUGGGUUGGAGGGCAUGCAGGUGCCCUGGUACCUGUCACACACCUGAGGGGAGAGGACCUGGGUUCCAUCUCCUGGGGCACGGUCAGCGUCUGCACCACCUCAUCCAGUUGACUAAUUUCUGAGAAGAUGACUGGAUCCAGCAGAUUGGCAGUGUUGGAGACCACCCGGACGGAGGCGAAGUUGACCUCGGCACUGGACCGCAACAGGGAGAAGAGGUGAGACUCGUUGGUGGAGAAAUGUGCCUGCACGAAGUGCCACUUGGCCUUGGCUGGGCUGCCCAAGGCUCUCUUCCGUCUCUCCUCCAGGCUCUCUUCCGUCUCUCUGGGCCGGUAAAUCCACCCGGUGCCCAGGACAGCCGUCAGCACCGGGGCACCAGCAGGAAGAGCCAGGGUUGCAAGCCCACAGCCAGCCCCAUCCUCUGGAAGCCCCGGGCGAGGGGCUGCUCCAGGCAGUUGGUGUGGCAGCGGGGCCUCCCAGGGGGUGGCUGCUGCCCCUGGGCUUCCGGGACCAGUGAAUCCCCUCAGAUGGCUGGCGGGGUGGGUCUGAGGAAGGCCCCGAAGCCAGGCUAAUGUCGGGCUCCCUCACUGGACCCCAGGACCUUGCUCUGGCUGCCCCGCGGAGGCGGGGAGCUGCUGGGGCGCAGAUGCCGCCCCAGGGUCUGCUCUGCUCUCAGACUCUGGCUCAGGCCAGUCCUCCUGCUCUGGCCUCUGAAGCCUCCCCUUGCUUGAACCCUCCCUUGGGGUGCAAACUUGAAGGGAUGGACACCCAUUUCCGGAAGGACCAACCGGUUGUUCAACAGGAGAACGAGAAAGCAGUGACUGGAUGGGGCGCCCAGUCCCCUCCCCCUGGCAGCUUCCGCAAGGAAUCCACAGGGAGGCUGUGCUGAUGGUCUCCUGCUCCUGCCACCUUUGACCUUCGCUGCACAUGCCAUGUCGGGAUGGGGAGGGUGGAGGGGGGCGUGCUUUGCUAGAGAGCUGGGUCUUGACAGCUGGCCUAGUAGAGGGGAAAUGGUUUCCAGGUGGGUCUGAGCUCCUGCCCUUAGGAUUCCCCUGCCUGAGGAGCCUGCAUUUGCUACACUGUUAUCAGUUGUGCCUUCUGUGGCCCUGGCAGGAGUAUUGAUAUAUUCGCGGAGAGAAGGGGAGGACUCCAGAGAAGCCCAGAGUGAAGACC